GUGAGGAAUAUUGGACAAUGGGCGCAAGCCUGAUCCAGCCAUGCCGCGUGCAGGAAGACGCAUCUAUGGUGUGUAAACUGCUUUUGUACGGGAAGAAACACUCCUACGUGUAGGAGCUUGACGGUACCGUAAGAAUAAGGAUCGGCUAACUCCGUGCCAGCAGCCGCGGUAAUACGGAGGAUCCAAGCGUUAUCCGGAAUCAUUGGGUUUAAAGGGUCCGUAGGCGGUUUAAUAAGUCAGUGGUGAAAUCUGGUCGCUCAACGAUCAAACGGCCAUUGAUACUGUUAGACUUGAAUUACUAGGAAGUAACUAGAAUAUGUAGUGUAGCGGUGAAAUGCUUAGAUAUUACAUGGAAUACCAAUUGCGAAGGCAGGUUACUACUAGUGGAUUGACGCUGAUGGACGAAAGCGUGGGGAGCGAACAGGAUUAGAAACCCCGGUAGUCC
Molecule: ribosomal RNA, 445 nt
Filed under: uncultured bacterium
Lineage: Bacteria
Description: bacterial SSU rRNA
Rfam family: Bacterial small subunit ribosomal RNA
Source: RNAcentral